GCUUUGGAAAGCAGUGCCAGAUAGUUGAUUGUUCAAGUUUAUUCAAGAUGGCUGUUUCAAAUCUUAUGUUUUUGGUGUUCUUGUUUUACAAAUUGGUGCUCAAUGGAUUUGCCUCUCCAAUUGGGUAUCCGUUAUACCAGACUGCUAGUAAGCAAGUGCACUUGGAGAAGAAAGUGAGUAUUGUGACCGUGCAUCGUUGUACACCAGUUCUUGACUCUUGUUUUCUAGAUGGCCCUUGUCCUGUCCUUAUGCAAGCCAAAAUCCAAACCCGCCAGUGGUAGCAAAGUGUAACUUGAAUGUUCUGCUGUCUUUGCAGAAUGCAUCUGGGCUAGUUAUCCAAAAGGGAAUCGACGUGAGAAAUCUGCCUGCAGAGUCCAGCCCUCUGCCUGCUCAGGAGACCAGCCCCAGACUGCCAAAGAGUCCAGCUCUAUCCCAGCUGGAAAAUCUAGCUCUCACCCAGUUGUGGAG
Onychostoma macrolepis is the source of this 468-nucleotide long non-coding RNA. RefSeq lists it as uncharacterized. The record is from RefSeq and is a predicted model, not a curated record. The transcript is spliced from 4 exons. Lineage: Eukaryota; Metazoa; Chordata; Actinopteri; Cypriniformes; Cyprinidae.